AUGUAGAACCCCAGUGCCGUGCAGCCAGGGCCAAAUCCAUAUCCCCCCAACAUCGGGUACCCUGGAGGUUCCAGUCCUGCCCACCUACCACCUGUGUAUCCACCCUUUCCUUCUCCCCCAGGAGCUCCCCAGAGCAAUCCAGGUGGGCCCCCUCCUCCUGUGCCACAGCAAGGGUAUCCAGGAUGCCAACCCUCAGGUCCCUACCCUGUUCCAUACCCACUGCUUGCCCGUGGAAUGCCUCCUAUGAAUCCCUUGGCUCCUGGCAUGGUCAGAGCAGCAGUGAUAGUGGACAAGAAGCUGCAGAAGAAAAUAAAGAAAGCUCAUAAAAAGAUGCACAAGCAUGGCAAGCAUUCCUUCUCCUCUUCCUCCUCCUUUUCCAGUAGUGACUGAGUAGAGGCCCUGGACUCUUCCCUCAAGUCUCAACAGUUCCGCUCUCCCAUCAAACUUCAGAUGCCAUGCUGUACUGGGGGAAAGUAGCCCUUGUGCUCCCCACCCCUACCCCAACCUGAGCCUCACCCUACUCUUCAGCCCUCAGUGGCUAGGGAAAAUGGGAAGAGGAUUGCCAUGGCAUGGCCAUCUUCUGGCUGCUUGGAUAUAUCAUAUAGCUAUUGAGUUUAGCAGGGGAGCUAUUUUUUGAAGAUGAUGAACUAAAUGUUGAAGACAAGUUUGAGAUCUGUAAAAUGUGAUUUUUUUACUUCCUCUUAUAAUACUUGUGAUUGGGGAGGUUUGUGGAAAUUUAUGAUGAAAAACCUCUAUCUUUUUUGUAAUGUUGGCAUACUUGGGGAAUUUAGUGGCAAAUACAUUCCCCAGCAGGCCUUUUGUUGGUUGUACUAACUGCAAGGUUUCUGGGAAGUGAAAAAAAAAAGAAAUCGAAGAGGAGAUAUCAAGUAGAAAAUCUGGUAUGUAAGUGUGGAAUUCAUAGAAGUUGGGCUGGGAUAAAAAAACUGGAGUCAACAAACGAUAUUUAGAGUCAUGAGACAGAUUAAGGAAGAGUGGAAGAAAGAAACAGAAAAGAAGCAGUUGUUGAGUUAAGAGGAAAACUGAUAGAGUCAAGUGAAGAGAUUGUUUUGAAAAGGAGAGUAAUGGAUUAUGUCAAAUGCUGCUACAAGGUCAAGUCAAAUGAGGACUGAUAAUUGUCAUUGGAUUUAGCAGUGCUCACAGUCAUGACAAACAGUUUUGGUGGAGUGUUGUAAUUGGAGUAAUUUAAGAAAAAAUUGGAAGAAACAAAUUGGGCACACAUGUAGACAACUUUUUCAAAAAGCUUUGAAGUGUAGAGGGACUAAAGUAUAGAGUUAGGAAUGGUGGCUUAAUCAAGGUGACAUGUUAGCCAGAAUAGAGAUUUUUGAAGCCAGAGAGAGCAAGAAAGUUGAGAGUGUAUGUGAGAAAUGGUUAUAAAAAUACAGGAUUAAAAUGGUUAUUUCUUCUGUUACUGAGGUUAAGCAUCCUUUUACAUGUUUAUUGGCCAUUCAUUUUUGUGUGUGUGAAUUACCUGUGCAUAUUCUUAUUGGGUGGUUCAUCUUUUCCUUAUGAGUGUUUACAAAUUCUCUAUAUAAUAAAGAUGUCAGCCUUUA
This is a non-coding RNA of Callithrix jacchus (white-tufted-ear marmoset), 1571 nucleotides long. Lineage: Eukaryota; Metazoa; Chordata; Mammalia; Primates; Cebidae. The record is from RefSeq and is a predicted model, not a curated record.